UUUUUUUUUUUUUUUUUUUUUUGACAGAGUCUUGCUCUGUCACCCAGGCUGGAGUGCAGUGGCGUGAUCUCGGCUCACUGUAACCUUCGCCUCCCAGGUUGAAGCUAAUCUCCUGCCUCAGCCUCCCGAGUAGCUGGGGUUACAGGUGUGCACCACCACGCUCAGCUGAUUUUGUGUUUUUAGUAGAGAUGGGGUUUUGCCAUGUUGGCCAGGCUGGUCACAAACUUCUGACCUCAAAUCAUCCACCUGCCUCAGCCUCCCACAGUACUGGGAUGACAGGCGUGAGCCACCGAGCCCAGCUGAAGCUCAACUUCUCGUCAGGGCACAGCUCUAUGGACAAGUCAUUAAGAUCCACAGAAGGUGAUGUUCACGCAGUGGAUAGCACAUAAUGUUCAUCAUGUCUAACCGUGAAGGAUUAUUUCAUAUAUGAAGAAAUGAUUCAACUGGGUUUGAGAAGAGUGAAGUCUGUCAAGCAGGGAAGGAGAUAAAGUCAGAGAAUAAUCUAAACAGAGGCAGGAAAAUGUGGAGGCACAUUCUGGAAUGACAUUGUCCCUGUCAGGGGAAGAGGGUGUUUAAAGGGUGUCUGGGAAAAGUGAGUGGAAAAUAAAGCUGGAAAGGGAAACUGGCCAGAGAAUGGAAAGUUGGGAAUGUCAUUGUGUGGGCAAAUGUGCUUCGUUGGUAACAGAAAGUCAUCUGUAGCUUUGGAACAAUGGUGCUACGUGUCCACACAUGUCUUUAAAAAGCAAACACUUAAAGGCAAGGGGAGGAAGGAAUAGGAGCUGAGGAGGGAAAAGCUCAGAAAGGAAACCAAGUUGAAAUAUCCAUGCAGUGGUAGCGUGAGAAGGAUUCUAAGGAAAUGGUGUGAGGACAGGGAUGCAGGGCUGAGGAUUAGAGACUUCUUAGAGGGAGGGCGACCUUGGGAGACAGACUGGGUUUGAAGUCCAGGUCUGACACUUGGUGCCUGUGGAACAAGGACAAGUCACAAAUCUCCACUUCUUCUAUAAAAUAGACACUGUGUUCAGUAUUGUUAUAGGGACCCUGUCAUGACUAGACAGGGUAAAAGAUGUCCAGGCAUCACUGAGUAUUGCAUAGGGACCCUGUCAUGACUAAACGAGGUGUAGUGUCCAGGCAUUUCUGGCAUGCACAGAAGUGGGAGAAGCCCAGAACUGAAAGACCAGGGAGUAGGAGUCCCUCGCAGGCACGCGGGGGAGUCACCUGAAACCUGGAUGGAGAGGUCACCAAGAGCCAGGUCCGUUUCCUGCACUUUUCUGUCCCUGGGGUUUAGCGGAUGUCCUAAACCCUGUCAUCAGCUCCACAGUGACGUAUAAAUGAGUUACGGUAACCAGAAGUAUCCGAUGCCAAGAAGCAGAAGCCGUGUGUGGGAGUUAUGAUGGGAAGGGAAGGGAAAACUGGAACUGAGGUGAGUUAAGGACCAGUUUGCAAGCGUUUGGCAGUGGUUGAAACGUGUCUCUAAGCCAGGGACCGGGUACUUGCAGAUCCCAGGCAGGGAAGGUGGUAUUUGCAGAUGACAGGAUUGCCUACUUAGGAAACACACACACACACACAACAUCACCUAACAAUGUUAUAAAUUGUGAAAUAAUUCAGUCAGGUAAAAAGUACAACAUCAACAUCAGUACAGUUCCAUAAAUAAUCAACUACCGAUGAAUACAAUGAGGAAAAGUUAACAUGAUACAACAGGAGGCAUGAUGGUAUCUUUAGAACCUGGCUGAAAGCUUCAAGUGGAAAUUUUUCUGCAUUAAAAGUUAAAAACUUCAAAGAGUUAAAACACUCUGAGGGGCUCCCGUGACGGCUGACUAGAGGCAUCUUCAACUUGCCUUCUCCACAAAGAACAAAAGUCGUCAUUAGACAACCA
Long non-coding RNA from Macaca fascicularis (crab-eating macaque), 1873 nucleotides. The record is from Ensembl. Lineage: Eukaryota; Metazoa; Chordata; Mammalia; Primates; Cercopithecidae.